UACGGGGGGGGCAAGCGUUGUUCGGAAUUACUGGGCGUAAAGGGCUCGUAGGCGGCCAACUAAGUCAGACGUGAAAUCCCUCGGCUUAACCGGGGAACUGCGUCUGAUACUGGAUGGCUUGAAUCCGGGAGAGGGAUGCGGAAUUCCAGGUGUAGCGGUGAAAUGCGUAGAUAUCAAGAGGAACACCUGAGGCGAAGGCGGGUUGCUAGGCUGACACUGACGCUGAGGCGCGAAAGCCAGGGGAGCAAACGGG
Molecule: ribosomal RNA, 253 nt
Filed under: uncultured bacterium
Lineage: Bacteria
Description: partial 16S ribosomal RNA
Rfam family: Bacterial small subunit ribosomal RNA
Source: RNAcentral